RNAcentral lists this ribosomal RNA (473 nucleotides) under uncultured organism. RNAcentral's name for it is "partial 16S ribosomal RNA". It matches the Rfam family "Bacterial small subunit ribosomal RNA", at positions 335 to 799 of the family's 1533-position model. The record is from RNAcentral.
ACUCCUACGGGAGGCAGCAGUGGGGAAUUUUGGACAAUGGGGGCAACCCUGAUCCAGCAAUGCCGCGUGAGUGAAGAAGGCCUUCGGGUUGUAAAGCUCUUUUGUCAGGGAAGAAACGGUGGUGGCGAAUAACUACUACUAAUGACGGUACCUGAAGAAUAAGCACCGGCUAACUACGUGCCAGCAGCCGCGGUAAUACGUAGGGUGCAAGCGUUAAUCGGAAUUACUGGGCGUAAAGCGUGCGCAGGCGGUUGUGUAAGUCAGAUGUGAAAUCCCCGGGCUCAACCUGGGAAUUGCAUUUGAGACUGCACGGCUAGAGUGUGUCAGAGGGGGGUAGAAUUCCACGUGUAGCAGUGAAAUGCGUAGAUAUGUGGAGGAAUACCGAUGGCGAAGGCAGCCCCCUGGGAUAACACUGACGCUCAUGCACGAAAGCGUGGGGAGCAAACAGGAUUAGAUACCCCUGUAGUCCCAUG